Molecule: transfer RNA, 70 nt
Filed under: Cocculina subcompressa
Lineage: Eukaryota; Metazoa; Mollusca; Gastropoda; Cocculinidae
Description: tRNA-Lys
Source: RNAcentral
UCUUAGAUGGCCGAAACAAAAUAAGCAAUAAACUUUUAAUUUAUCUAUGGUAUAACAUUACCUCUAAGAA